This 760-nucleotide ribosomal RNA is filed under the name uncultured Inocybe. RNAcentral's name for it is "partial 28S ribosomal RNA". It matches the Rfam family "Eukaryotic large subunit ribosomal RNA", at positions 216 to 962 of the family's 3401-position model. Lineage: Eukaryota; Fungi; Basidiomycota; Agaricomycetes; Agaricales; Cortinariaceae. The record is from RNAcentral.
GAAUCCCGUCUUUGACACGGACUGCCUGCAUGUUAUGGUGCGCUCUCAAAGAGUCGAGUUGUUUGGGAAUGCAGCUCAAAAUGGGUGGUAAAUGCCAUCUAAAGCUAAAUAUUGGCGAGAGACCGAUAGCGAACAAGUACCGUGAGGGAAAGAUGAAAAGAACUUUGGAAAGAGAGUUAAACAGUACGUGAAAUUGCUGAAAGGGAAACGCUUGAAGUCAGUCGCGUCGGCUAGAAAUCAACCUUGCUUUUGCUUGGUGUACUUUCUUGUUGAUGGGUCAGCAUCAAUUUUGACCGUUGGAUAAAGUCGUUGGGAAUGUGGCAUCUUAGGAUGUGUUAUAGCCCAUCGUCGCAUACAGCGGUUGGGAUUGAGGAACUCAGCACGCCCUUCUGGGGACGGGUUUCGACCACGUUUCGUGCUUAGGAUGCUGGCAUAAUGGCUUUAAUCGACCCGUCUUGAAACACGGACCAAGGAGUCUAACAUGCCUGCGAGUGUUUGGGUGGAAAACCCAUGCGCGCAAUGAAAGUGAAAGUUGAGAUCCCCUCAAGGGGAGCAUCGACGCCCGGACCAGAGCUUCUGUGACGGAUCCGCGGUAGAGCAUGUAUGUUGGGACCCGAAAGAUGGUGAACUAUGCCUGAAUAGGGUGAAGCCAGAGGAAACUCUGGUGGAGGCUCGUAGCGAUUCUGACGUGCAAAUCGAUCGUCAAAUUUGGGUAUAGGGGCGAAAGACUAAUCGAACCAUCUAGUAGCUGGUUCCUGCC